GUGUUUCAUAGAGAGAAGGCUUUUUUCCGUCGGUUGCCACGGUAACACGCUUUGUACUAUUAGAAAGAUUUGAAUAGUGUUUGGUCCACAACUUGUCAGGAUGCUUCACACAAAGUUUGGAGUCACUCGCACGAAUCCCCUCAGACUAGUUUGUUCAAAUAAGAUG
Molecule: long non-coding RNA, 166 nt
Organism: Melanotaenia boesemani (Boeseman's rainbowfish)
Lineage: Eukaryota; Metazoa; Chordata; Actinopteri; Atheriniformes; Melanotaeniidae
Exons: 3
Source: RefSeq, a predicted model, not a curated record